RNAcentral lists this non-coding RNA (183 nucleotides) under Iningainema tapete BLCC-T55. RNAcentral describes it as "6S / SsrS RNA". It matches the Rfam family "6S / SsrS RNA". Rfam says of the family: E. coli 6S RNA was the first non coding RNA to be sequenced, but its function was unknown until recently. It consists of 184 nucleotides that fold into an extended hairpin structure with a large single-stranded internal bulge. The record is from Rfam by way of RNAcentral. Lineage: Bacteria; Bacillati; Cyanobacteriota; Cyanophyceae; Nostocales; Scytonemataceae.
GUUGCACUGCGACGUUGGUGACUGCCAUCAAGUUUUUUGAUCUAUGCCUUUAAUGAUAAGGGAACCAUAGAACGCUCGUGGCAGUAGACCGGGCAUGUACCCGGAAACUUUAAACGAGAUUAUUGGUACCCACCUGGUUUAACCAGGUCAUAAACUUAGGUAAAACGGCGUUGCGGUGAACUU